Molecule: long non-coding RNA, 3531 nt
Organism: Phymastichus coffea
Lineage: Eukaryota; Metazoa; Arthropoda; Insecta; Hymenoptera; Eulophidae
Exons: 6
Source: RefSeq, a predicted model, not a curated record
AGACAAAUCGCAACGUAGUCAUUCGGUCGUACGAUGCUCUUUGAGUUCGACAGCGCGGUAAAUUUUGCGAUCGACACUGCCGCACUGCUUUUGGUCUUCACGUCUACGUAGUGACCCCCGGUUUGAAGAGUGAGCGAGCUUCGCUGUCAAGCUGAUGGCCAGCUUCCGCGAGAGAAUGACGCGGAACACAACGAAGCUACCAAAAGUUUCCGACGUGAUGUAUUUUUACAUUCUUGGUUUCAUUUCUCAACACUCACAGAAUUUUCAACACGUCGUCGGAAGAUACCGAAAGCCGCUAUCAGGAAAUGAACAAAGGAGCACUGGAAUGAUCGCGUGUGUACUAUUUACCUAAGUAUAUCCUUCGUGGUGUUUGCGAUGGCCGUUGAGUUCGUUUUAACUUUAUUGAAGUGGAGACGAACAAGUUACAAAGUCGAAGACAAUCGGACGAUGUUUGCAAUUGAUUUUAUAAAUAACGAACGUUCAGUGCUGCCCGGGAGUUACGUUGACUUGCAACGAUAAACGAAUAAAAAUCAUUCAUUCGUCGACAAGUGAAAGCAGCCAUAUGUAUCGUGAAACAACGCUGAUCGACGUGCGUUUGAUCAACGUUCAGUUUCAAUGGUAACACUGAAUUCUAUUUGCGGACGGAUGGACAAGUGCACGUAAAGUCGUACAGUUUGACAAGCAGCUUGCCGUCAAACUCAACUCGCGAUAACCAACCCAGCAACAUUGACCUGUUGCACGCGUAGGUCAAUUUAUUCCAACUUCCCCCACCCAAGCUUGGCCGCACAGUAUACAGUGAACGCGUGGCGAGUUAAGUGGGGAGUCCGCGGCUCGCCGAGCUCGUGGAUUUUCGUCGCGCAGUCCUAGCCUGUCCUAGAGCGCAGUGUCUCGUCGAAGAAGCCUGCAGAGAAUGGCGCAAAACAGUCAUCCACGGUUGUACGAUGACUCUCCGCCGACGUACGAAGCGGCCACUGGAGCUGCGCCGCUGACAAACGAACUCUUGCUAAGUGUGUCCGACAUCGUGGUUCACAACGAACGUGCGCCGCUGAUUUCCAUUUCUGCCGGUAGACCAAACAACACGGUUCGACCUUCAGUCGAAAUCGAAAACACGCUGGAUGAUUUGAUUAGGCGGAGAGCGCACCACCAAGCAACGAUCGACACAAGGCAUGAAGAAAUCUAUAGAUUCCAGACUUACAAGGACAUAUUGGCCUUGAUUCUAGCGGCGAUUACCACGGCAAUCACAUUGCUGAUUAUCAUUUACGCACAGGAACGUUUCAGUGCACGCAUAGUUUAGUGCAAAGACAACGAGGUGGGAUCGCAUGGCAUGAAACGAAAAAAAAAAACAAAAAAAAAUAAAAAAAAACACGACGAACAUACGGCCCGACAGUAUUAGCGCGAGCACACGUGGUAAUUUGCCGGCGCUCCCACCAACGUCAAGCCGUGCUAGCCUGCCAAGUGGGGCAGCGUUGUUCGGUUAUCGCGCCUCGCGCAGUGCUCGACUUGUUCCCAGCGCGGAAUGCAACGAGAUGCUCCACCUUGCUCGCAGAUCCACAGACAGCCCUGCGUCGGGGACAAGUGUCUGCCCACGUACGAGGAGGCGACGGGCAGCGCUCCGCGAAGGCCGAGCAGCAGUGCUCCCGUAUUUACUUGCCAGCGCUUGCCACGCGAUGCCACCACGGCGCUUGCUAAUCUUCGUUGUCCGUGCGGCAAUCAAGUCGCAGCACCGCAUGACCCGAGCGUUUCGCCGCGCAACGAAGCUUCGGAUGAUAUUUUUCUAGGGAACAGCGAAAAAUACGGAUACGCCCGCGCAGUCACUGCCCUGUUAGCGUGUAUGGCGCUGAUUGUCAUCUUCACUGGACUUUUCAUUUUCUGCACGAUACAUUUUCUCAAAUUUCGUUGAGAAUUAAUUUUCCGUUGAUCGUCGACUAGCAAUCGCGCUCCCGUAUUAUUCUUUCGGCGUGCUACCAAUUUUCUUCUUAUGCCUGGAGUACACCGCCGCGUAAUGUGUUCCGACCCAAAGACUUGUAACUCUCGUUUUUCGAUUAUCUGCAAUUAUAAUAAACCUGUAAAUAUAUUCGCUCGAAAUUCUAUUGUAACGACGGUUGUCUUUCAAAUCGGAGAAUACGAGUACAUUUUGUACUGUUUUCGUAAAUUAUUGUGACUUUGAUAUAAUAAACGCGAUGAGUAGUAUCGCGAGAAAAAAUGUGAUGUAAGACGAGUUUGUACGGUAAAUUAUAAGUAUGAUCUAAUAAAAAUGCACAUUUAUGUGACGCCGACUGCCAAGCGUUUAUUGGAUAUGGAAAUUGACAGCUCAGCAUCCAUUACGUCUCCUUUUCCUCCUCUCAGUCUCAACGAGUCACGUGCGUUAGAUUUCUCGAGUGGAAGCGCGAGUUUUUAGCAUUUGUCGAAAUUCUCGCGUAUCGGCUGCGGGGCCUCUUCGCUCUCGAUCGCGAGAUUAUUGUGGAGAACCAAGCGAGGGAUGUUGAUGCAACGGGAGCGUUAUAAUUCCGCUGCCGGCCGCCCACUGCCGAAAUAAACUGCAGUUAGCCUCGAUUGAGCGCGGCUGCCCUAUUAUGCGAGCUGUAACGCCAUACCAUGUAACGCAAGUCUGGAACGCGAUACGGCGGAGGGGAUUCGGACGAUUCGCCGCGAGUUGCCUCGGUAUAGCAUAGCUGCGACCCGCGGCGGGCUUUGUUCCGCGUGAUCGAGGUAGCUGGUGGCGGCUGCGAGAGAUACCUCCGCUAAAGAUACUACUAGUACCAGCAACCCGCCUGCACCAACUUCGGACUGUUGUGGGUAAUAAUUAUACGUACAAUUAACAAAGUUUCAUUUCCAUGGCGAUAUUGCUUUAUUAUCAAUUGACGGUAUAAUUUGUUAUCCUUUCCGUGAAACUCGAAAGAUCUCUUCAAAAGUGAUCAUCAACAAGGCCUUGCGAACGGUGACACUGGCAAUCUUUUGUUCCUUAAUGAUGUUUAUCGCGGAUCUCGAUACGUGAGUUACUUCUCGUUUAUACAAUGAUUGACCUUCUUGCCACGCAAUUCACUUUUUUUUCUUUUGAAUAACUAUCCAUAAUUUUCAAGGUUUCAAUUAAUUCACCAUAGAGGAACGGAGGAAUUGGAUGAGAAACUUGAACAUUCUAGUACUAAAUAACAUUUUUGUCAAAGAAAUAUAAUUUGUGCUAAUUUAACGCCAUUAACAUUAUAGUUAUGAGUAUAACAUUUUUUGUUCAGGUCGAUGAAUGAGUCAUUCGCAUCAUAAAAAUAUUUAUCGACGUGGCAUUCGCUGUUAUUCUGGUAAUAAUAGUGCUUAUAAUAAGGUCAUAUUGAGUAGGGCUAUUCAAUUAACUAUUUUUAAAGAAAUUUAUAUAAUUUUUUAAAAACGUACCAUACUUUUCCAAUGAUAUUUAUUAUUUAUGAAAAAUUGUGUUCAUUAAAAAAUCAACGUGUGAUAUACUGUAACUAUUCGAUCAGAGAAGCUCUCAGAUUUACCUGUGAUUAGUAUUUAUAUAUUAUCAAAAAAUAAAAAUCAUAC